AUCAUUCCGUGCUGGUGGCUGAUGGGGAAGGAGCGGCGCGGCUCCGCGGUGGGGCUGGGGCGCGUUGUGCUCCCCCUCUCACCGCUCUCCCCCCGCCGCUCUGCCGGAUCCUGGGGGAGGCGCCGAGGGGCGGGGAGCGGCGCUUACAGCCGGAGCCGCCCGGGGAAGGGGCGCGCAGCCAGGAGGGAGGGAAAGAUGUGAACAAAGGUGACCCCAAGGUUGAAGUUUCUUCAAGGAUGUCUUGGUCUGGAAUGUGGUUUAACAGCACAGGUGAAGAUCUUUGGAAAAGUAGAGCAUCUGUGUCAUUGAUUGGAAAUGCUGUAUACUGACAAACCUAUGGAAUCCUGUCUUGUCAGAGUCCUUAACAGAGCUGAGCAGCAGUGGUGGUCUGAGCUUGGCUCACCGUGGUGGGAAGUAGUCAUGAGGACCCGUGGUUAGUCUCCUGUUGGAAGAUGAAGAUACUCUGUUCUUAUCUGUACCUCCUGGUUUUUAAUGUUCAAGUACAAAGAAGUUGAUGUUGUGAGUAAUCACUGCAGUUAAUGUUUGAUUUUGAAUGUGGUUCACAUAUUUAUCCAAUUCCUUUGGUGCUGAAAGUCAUCUGUUGUUAAUUAUGUGAUAACAUAUAAUAUAUUAAUAUUGUAAGUACGGGUUUGCACAUAGAAGCUGAUCAUGUGUCAGGAUCUUUGGCCCAAAUCUGAAAUGCUAAAGGCACUCACUUCUGGAAGAUGCUGAAACUUUAUUGAAUUAUGUUUUUACAAGCUUCUUUAUGAUUAUCUUUUAGGUAUUUUCUGAUCUAAUGUUGAAAAGCUAUUUAGUGUAACUGCAGUUAAGUGAUUUCAUCUCAAAUGUUUAUUUUGCUAUGCACAUCUCUUCCCCCUUUUCUUUUUUUAAUGUGAAGUGCUACAGCUUUACUUUAAGUUUAUAUGGAAAGCAACUAUACUUUAAGAAGUAUGCAGGAGGAUUUCCCAUGUCUGUAAACAUACUGGGUAGUUGAGCAUUUGCUGAAAUGAGCUGCCAAUUGUUUUCUGUCUUGUAAUACUCCUUUGUAGAUCUGCUGGUAUCUGGCUUGUCCCUGCUGCAUCUAUACAAUGCGUUCCUUCAUGUUUUGUGUAACAUCUUCCUCAGUCAUUUCUGUGUAUGUAAAUACAGAAACUGGAAAGAGAAAACUCUGUUUGUGAAUUGUCCCUCUUCCUGCCCUCACUUCUCCACCCCUCCAGCGUAGCUGGAAGGUUGGUCAUGAGCAGGAAGUGAGAACAAUAUUGAUCACUGGUAUCCAGGAAUUCUGAGGGGAAAGGGGGCAAAAAUGAGCACUGGAAAACAAUCUACGUGUUCUGACAACACAUUUAUGCUUUGAGACCCUUAGAAUGGGAGUGCUGUCGGUAGAAAAAGUAAAUGAAGACCUCGAGGUGUUGGUUGCAGAAGUAUCGAAGCUAACUGCCAUUGUAAGAGGCUUGGGUGUUGGUUUUGUGCCUUCUGUUACUUGUUCAGUUAUUUAAAUCACUCCUAAUAGUGGUUAGUGAGGUGCAAGCAGAGUGAAGCCUAAACCCAGAAGGGUUUUUGUGUAUUAUUUACCUUUAUUUUAGCUUGUCAAACUCAAAGCAGAGUUACAUUAAAACAAAGUAUCUUUCAGUGGUGACUUCUGUGACUGUAUAACUCCUGCCACAUGAGUGAUUACUGUUCAUUUCUGCACUUACUAUUUGCAAGUGCUGCAUGUUUGUGUCACAACGCUGUUUUCUAACACUGUUUCAAGUAAGAGAAGAACGUAAAAAAAGGUAAUUUAAAGUGAUGUAUUUAAUGGGAAGUAGUUCUAAGUUGCUCAACUGAGAAGAGAUGAGUACUGGCAUGUCUCAAAACUUGUUUUGUUCCCCAGGAGUUAAGCAUAGAGUGUUAUCUCCCUUUUAUUUGCACAGUAUCUCGCAUACCAGCAGAGCCUGGAAAUUCAUAAUGUUUAGCAAAAUGAGGAAAGAAAUCAAGAGUCACACAUUUUUGCUGUUGGCAGUGGUAGCCUGAUCAACAUUUACCCGUCAGCCUGCCACCUCCCGUAACUUAGACACUAGUUUUUAAAACCACUUUCUGCAGCCGUUAGUCCUCAGUUUCUGGUUGCCAAAUAUGUGUUUUCUUUUUUCUUCUUGCGCAAGCUUGUUGUUACUGCUGUGCUUAUAAGAGAGGGCUUAGCUGAGUUUUGGAGGUGUAUUUAGCAGCAGAUGUACUGCAUAUUGUCCUUUUUCUUGUGACAGUCCUUAAGAGUAUUUAAGUGUGUUAUUCAGCAUUUGAUGGGUGACCAAGCUAUUCUUUGUUUAUUUUCUGAAGCAUUGAACGUUUUGUUACAAAUGUAGGCUGAUAUUAUUACAGAUAAGUGAUUUUGUUCAUGGCUUUGAUGCUUAGUGUUGCUGUGAGAAAGAUCCCUGUGCAGGGUUCAACAAAUAAUUGUGGAGAGCAGCGGUUCCACUUUCUGUGCACGUGCUACCUAUUUUGUAAAUAAGCAUUGUAUGGCUGUUGGUCUUCCUUUUAAAAGCUAUCCUGUGCAUGGCUGACUUCAAAACUCUUAUAAAAGCUUAGGAAUUAAGUCAGUGUUGUAAACUAGAAACGUGAGGUAGACUUUCAGAAUUAUUUGGAAGAGGAAAAUACGUGUAUAUGAACUGAAGGAAUCUGAGUCAAAUAAGCAGGCUGUGCAGCUUUCCUGAGGUUUGUGAAAAAUCAAAAUGCAGUAACUUGUUAGACCUGUGUGAGGAGGAAUAGAGAACAUAUAUUUCUAGCCUGUCAUAGAACGGUGUGGAUUAACACAGAAGCAAGAAAAGAGCCUCAGAUGUUCUUGCAAAACUGUGACAAAACACCUUUGCAAAACGUGAUGACCUCAGUUGUACUGUGGUAGAAUAAAACAAAAUCAGAGGUUGGAAAAAAAUGGCAACUCGUGGUAUAAAGAGGUUAAGAAAUUGAAGUAUUAAUAUUCAAGUAAAAUACAUUUAAUAAGUAGGAAAUGAAGUGAAACAGUGUACUCUGAAGCUUAUCAAAGAGUUUACAGGAAGGUUCCUGAAGAUCUGGAGAUCUCCUGAAGGAUCCUGGAGAUCCUGAAGAUCUGGAGAAUUCAACUGAAAAUAGAAAAUCCGUUCUUUUUACCUGAGCCUGUAUCUGUGUAUUUAGGAAUAAACACAGUUUUUGUUUCGUAUUUUUACAACAGCUGUUUGGGUAACCUAAAGCACACAGACCGCGAUGCUGGUAUUUACGAGGCCUGCACUCCAAGGCUGUGAGUGCAACUGGAGCUAAAGGAGCCUUGCUGUUCUGCUGGGGCUUUAUGAAAACUUCAGGAGCAUUUGACAAGUUUUACUCUAUUCAGUGGGAGGAAAAAAGGAAAUGUACUUGUAGUUUUUAAGCUUUACAGAAUGAUUAGGUUUUAAUUUAGCAAAACUAUCCUAGACAAACAUAGUGUAUUUCUUUCUUAUAGUCAAAAUAAGAAGCGCCUAUGGUAGAAAGAGUACUGUGCAAAACUUGCUCUAGUGGAUGUGAGAGCUUUUGAGUCUGACAGUUUAAGUAGCGAAGACGAAAGUGAGGACAGUUCUUGGGCAGGGGACUUGAAGAGGAAUGUGAUUCAUGGGGCAUAGUGACUGGCGUAAUUACCAGUGCAGCUGCUGUAGUAAUUUCUGCCAGUGCUAAAAAAGCCUGUCAUGGCCUGUACUCUGCUGGUCAGAGUGUAAGUGAUAACGAUGGCAGCAGCAGUGCCAACUCCAGGCUGCUGUAUGCGAUUGGAGCAGUUUCUGCUAGGUUUCAAAUUGAUAUAAAACCUUCACAGGAUUUCCUGAAGUGUUCAGGCUGAGGAAAAACUUUGGAAUUGGGAGUGGCAAGGUUUUGUUAUGUGUUUUCUGUGAGGAAUAGUAAGAGUAGUGAUACAGAGGGAUUUAAAUAAUCUGAUAAUGAGUAAAACCUGUCAAAUUCAGGCAAGGAAAACCAAGGACUUGAGCACCUUCAAUUUUAACAUUAUCAGCACAAAAGGUUUGUAAGAAAUCCAUUUGCUUCAGUAUUCUAUUAAAUAAGGUUUUAAACUUUUUGUUCUGAUAGAGCUUUCUGUCAUUCUGUAUUUUUUUAAUCACGUUCUGUAAUCUGAAACAUCUGACUUGUGGUUCAGUGUUUGUUUCCAUUUAAGCCAAGUGACACAUUUCAGAGUUGAUCCAGCAUGGAAUUUGGAGGAAGGAGCUCUUGAAGCACUGGGACAGAAGAGUGGGAAGAAACGUUCUGCUGGACCCAGGCUUCUUUCUCAUGUAAAUGGCUUGACCUAGCGAGGAAAAGCUUUUGCUGAAGAGUGAGGGGAAUUUUGAAAUACUAACCACAAAAUGUUAUUUUCUGUCACUAAUGUGCAUCAUCAAAACUCACUUCUCUAGCACUCAACAAACGUAAUUUGCAUUUAAAAUUGAAGUGGAUUGCCAAAAGUCUUACAUCAGUCUCACAUCAAAGACAGCAGAAUUUCCUAGAAUUCAGGGACUCUGAUACUUACUGUCAGAGCAAUCUGUUUAACUGCCUAGCCCCAACAUCUGCAUUAGCAGCUCAUUGCAUUUCACCUGUGCAGUAGAAAUAAUAAUUUUGUCCUAUUUGAGAGAAGGCUUAGCUUCCUUCCUAGAUGUUCUAAGUGUAAACUGUAAAUACAUAUGCAGUGUUCCUAAUUUCUUUCAGUCUUCCUUAUCCUCUUCAAAGAGUUUCCAGAUCUUGCUCUUUUUCAACCUUUUAUUUACCUUUGAUUUCAUUUCUGCCAUUUCCAUCUCCUGUUCUUAAUAACGUGCCUCCCUCAGAUUGUUGCUGAAGAAUGCCAAACAGUGUUUGUGGCUCGAUUCAAGAAAGAGAUUAAGGAGGAGAUCACAAUUUCCUGCAUCCAAAGGUAUCAGAAGAUUGUUAGCUAAUUUAUGAAAACAUUCUGUAAUCAUUGCUCAUUGUUGUCCCUGUUGACUGAUGGUACGAGUUCCACAGGCUUAAAUUCGGGCACAAGAGGAGUCCUAAAAUAACACUGCAGAGUUUCUCCUUGUGCAGCAAGCGACUCUGCUCAUCCCAAGCACCUGGUGACUGCAACCUGAGUGACAGUAAGUAGUGUAGUUCUGUGGCUUAUGUUUCCAGCAUGUAUAUAUGUGUACGCUGAGGCUCAGCCCUAAUAAAGUCACCUUUU
This is a long non-coding RNA of Gallus gallus (chicken), 5146 nucleotides long. RefSeq lists it as uncharacterized. Lineage: Eukaryota; Metazoa; Chordata; Aves; Galliformes; Phasianidae. The record is from RefSeq and is marked validated. The transcript has 3 exons.